This 64-nucleotide transfer RNA is filed under the name Phlogotettix sp. EMHAU-15090801. RNAcentral's name for it is "tRNA-Val". Lineage: Eukaryota; Metazoa; Arthropoda; Insecta; Hemiptera; Cicadellidae. The record is from RNAcentral.
CAGAUUGUAGCUUAUGUUUAAAGCUUUUUAUUUACAUUAAAAUUAAAAUUUAUAUUCUUUCUGA